Molecule: unclassified non-coding RNA, 332 nt
Filed under: soil metagenome
Description: partial contains 5.8S ribosomal RNA, internal transcribed spacer 2, and large subunit ribosomal RNA
Rfam family: 5.8S ribosomal RNA (bases 1-120)
Source: RNAcentral
GAUGAAGAACGUAGCGAAAUGCGAUAAGUAGUGUGAAUUGCAGAAUUCAGUGAAUCAUCGAAUCUUUGAACGCACAUUGCGCCCUUUGGUAUUCCUUAGGGCAUGCCUGUUCGAGCGUCAUUUAAACCUUCAAGCUCAGCCUGGUGUUGGGUGACUGUCCGCUUCACCGCGGACUCGCCUCAAAAUUAUUGGCGGCCGGUACAUUGGCUUCGAGCGCAGCAGAAACGCGAACUCGGGCCCGUCGUAUUGGCUCCCAGAAGCUAUCUUCACAAUUUUGACCUCGGAUCAGGUAGGGAUACCCGCUGAACUUAAGCAUAUCAAUAAGCGGAGGA